CCAUCUUGACAGUAGAUCACUCGGCUCGUGUGUCAAUGCAGACCGCAGCCAACUGUUUGAAUAAAUGUGCAUCGGAACUCGCUUAGAUUAUCGACCUUUGGACGCAUAUUGCACCCAUUAGCCUGUCUGUGGCUACGUCUGGCCUAGGAUCU
RNAcentral lists this ribosomal RNA (152 nucleotides) under Schistocephalus solidus. RNAcentral describes it as "5.8S ribosomal RNA". It matches the Rfam family "5.8S ribosomal RNA". Rfam says of the family: 5.8S ribosomal RNA (5.8S rRNA) is a component of the large subunit of the eukaryotic ribosome. It is transcribed by RNA polymerase I as part of the 45S precursor that also contains 18S and 28S rRNA. Lineage: Eukaryota; Metazoa; Platyhelminthes; Cestoda; Diphyllobothriidea; Diphyllobothriidae. The record is from Rfam by way of RNAcentral.